RNAcentral lists this ribosomal RNA (393 nucleotides) under uncultured bacterium. RNAcentral's name for it is "partial 16S ribosomal RNA". It matches the Rfam family "Bacterial small subunit ribosomal RNA", at positions 523 to 918 of the family's 1533-position model. The record is from RNAcentral.
AUACGGAGGAUCCGAGCGUUAUCCGGAUUUAUUGGGUUUAAAGGGAGCGUAGGUGGAUUGUUAAGUCAGUUGUGAAAGUUUGCGGCUCAACCGUAAAAUUGCAGUUGAAACUGGCAGUCUUGAGUACAGUAGAGGUGGGCGGAAUUCGUGGUGUAGCGGUGAAAUGCUUAGAUAUCACGAAGAACUCCGAUUGCGAAGGCAGCGCACUAGACUGUUACUGACACUGAUGCUCGAAAGUGUGGGUAUCAAACAGGAUUAGAUACCCUGGUAGUCCACACAGUAAACGAUGAAUACUCGCUGUUUGCGAUAUACAGUAAGCGGCCAAGCGAAAGCAUUAAGUAUUCCAUCUGGGGAGUACGCCGGCAACGGUGAAACUCAAAUGAAUUGACGGGG